Long non-coding RNA from Bactrocera dorsalis (oriental fruit fly), 324 nucleotides. RefSeq lists it as uncharacterized. Lineage: Eukaryota; Metazoa; Arthropoda; Insecta; Diptera; Tephritidae. The transcript is spliced from 2 exons. The record is from RefSeq and is a predicted model, not a curated record.
AUAUUGUGGCUCAAAUUUCAUGUCACCGAACUCAAAUUUAUGAGUACUACAUGAAACGUUAUUACUUUUACUUUUAUAAGCAAAAGUCAAAGUAAUAUCCAAUUAUGUAGGAAUAUUUGUACGUUCACUUAAAAAAGGUACUAAAGCCACAAAUGUCAAUGCACCGAAUUUAGUAAUUGGAAAAGUAUAAAAAGAUUAGAUAUGUAUAUGAUUUUGUUUACAUUUGUUUAUUUUGAUCAAUAUUGUAGGUUUCAUUUUAAGAACGAAAUUAUUGUAAAAUCAGUCUUUAGAUUCACUUGAAUAAAGGAAGAAGUAACAGCUUAA